GGGGCUUGGGUCUGAGUGCCUCUGCUCCAGAGUGACUCUUCUUUAAAGAUGCCCUCAGUGGCUUCUUUAAACCGGGGGAUGGUGGGGAGUUGUGGCUCGGCAGGUUACCAACCCGACUAGGAUCUAUGAGGAGGAGGAUUUGAUCCCUGGCCUUUGCUCAGUGGGUUAAGGAUCCGGUAUUUCCGUGAGCUGUGGUGUAGGUCGCAGACACGGCUGGGAUCUGGCGUUGCUGUGUCUGUGGUGUCUGCCGGCGGCUACAGCUCUGAUUCCACGCCUAGCCUGGGAACUUCUAUGUGCCGUGGGUGCAGCCCUAAAAAUAAAAAUAGAAAAUAAAAUACAAUAAGAUGCCCUUGGCAUCAUUGUGCACCCCCCCUCGCCCCCCGUCAUGUUCCUUCCCUGCCCUGCUAGUGUGUGGCGGUGGGUGGCAGGACCCAGAGACAUGGCCAGUGCCAGGAGCCACACAGCAACAGCUUCUCUCUCCUCCCAGAUCAGCCCUGUCAGCCCUCCUCGAACCCGCACUGCCCGCCUGAUGACCGCCAAGGAGGGCCAGGCCCUGCUGAGUCACGAGGCCGCUCCCCCGCUGGGCACUGAGUCAUUCUUAACGAGCCCUCUGACGGGCAAACUGCUGCCAUCAUCCAGGAUUCACCCAAGUCUGCAGGAUUUGAGAACAUUCUUCCGGGAAGGAGUCUGGAGCCUCCCCCACACGGCUGCCCACAUCAGGAGCCUCAGAUACAGAGGCCUUUUUCCUUGCCUUUGGCCUCAGCAUCCAACACUCCACUCUUCUCAUGGAAACUCCGGGGGAGCGGCAGCGGAAACUCCAUCCGAUGCUUCACUGGGAAUCGGCACUAAGUUGGGGGGGGUGGCACCGCCUUCCAGGCCAGGAUGNGGGGGGGGGGGGGGGGGGGGGGGGGGGGGGGGGACAGGCACCCUGGGGUCACAUGAAAGUCUAGUCAUGGGACUUAGAUUUUCUUUGGUUUUCCCCCAAAGGCUGCUCUUUGAACUCAGACCCCUCCAAUGGGGCUGGUCUUUUGACUGGUGUUGGGUUUUCUGAAUCCGCUUCAUUGAGCGCUCCUGGGGGACCAAGGUGGCCAGUGAGAUGCCAGGAAUUUUUUUUCCUCUAAUGUUAUUUAAAGAGAGCU
RNAcentral lists this long non-coding RNA (1139 nucleotides) under Sus scrofa (pig). Its description in RNAcentral is "lncRNA (ENSSSCG00035074186.1)". The record is from RNAcentral. Lineage: Eukaryota; Metazoa; Chordata; Mammalia; Artiodactyla; Suidae.